Molecule: ribosomal RNA, 460 nt
Filed under: uncultured bacterium
Lineage: Bacteria
Description: partial 16S ribosomal RNA
Rfam family: Bacterial small subunit ribosomal RNA
Source: RNAcentral
CCUACGGGUGGCAGCAGUGAGGAAUAUUGGUCAAUGGACGAGAGUCUGAACCAGCCAAGUAGCGUGAAGGAUGACUGCCCUAUGGGUUGUAAACUUCUUUUUUAUGGGAAUAAAACGUUCCACGUGUGGGAUUUUGUAUGUACCAUAUGAAUAAGGAUCGGCUAACUCCGUGCCAGCAGCCGCGGUAAUACGGAGGAUCCGAGCGUUAUCCGGAUUUAUUGGGUUUAAAGGGAGCGUAGGUGGAUUGUUAAGUCAGUUGUGAAAGUUUGCGGCUCAACCGUAAAAUUGCAGUUGAAACUGGCAGUCUUGAGUACAGUAGAGGUGGGCGGAAUUCGUGGUGUAGCGGUGAAAUGCUUAGAUAUCACGAAGAACUCCGAUUGCGAAGGCAGUUCACUGGACUGCAACUGACACUGAGGCUCGAAAGUGUGGGUAUCAAACAGGAUUAGAUACCCUAGUAGUC